RNAcentral lists this ribosomal RNA (460 nucleotides) under uncultured bacterium. RNAcentral's name for it is "partial 16S ribosomal RNA". It matches the Rfam family "Bacterial small subunit ribosomal RNA", at positions 338 to 795 of the family's 1533-position model. The record is from RNAcentral.
CCUACGGGAGGCUGCAGUGAGGAAUAUUGGUCAAUGGACGAAAGUCUGAACCAGCCAAGUCGCGUGAAGGAUGACUGUCCUAUGAGUUGUAAACUUCUUUUAUAUGGGAAUAAAAUGAUCCACGUGUGGCAUAUUGUAUGUACUAUAUGAAUAAGGAUCGGCUAACUCCGUGCCAGCAGCCGCGGUAAUACGGAGGCUCCGAGCGUUAUCCGGAUUUAUUGGGUUUAAAGGGUGCGUAGGUGGAUGGUUAAGUCAGUUGUGAAAGUUUGCGGCUCAACCGUAGAAGUGCAGUUGAAACUGGCAGUCUUGAGUACAGGAGAGGUAGGCGGAAUGCGGGGUGUAGCGGUGAAAUGCUUAGAUAUCACGAAGAACUCCGAUUGCGAAGGCAGCUCACUGGACUGCAACUGACGCUGAGGCUCGAAAGUGUGGGUAUCAAACAGGAUUAGAUACCCGAGUAGUC